GAGAUUUCAUUAUUUUUUUUUAUUUCUGUGUUAGGCCUGUGACGAUAACAAGUUUUUGUUGUGCGAUAUAUUGCCCCAGAAAUAAUUGCGAUAAGC
This is a long non-coding RNA of Sinocyclocheilus grahami, 96 nucleotides long. RefSeq lists it as uncharacterized. Lineage: Eukaryota; Metazoa; Chordata; Actinopteri; Cypriniformes; Cyprinidae. The record is from RefSeq and is a predicted model, not a curated record. The transcript has 3 exons.